Molecule: transfer RNA, 77 nt
Filed under: Alphaproteobacteria bacterium
Lineage: Bacteria; Pseudomonadati; Pseudomonadota; Alphaproteobacteria
Also listed under: 2 other names
Description: tRNA-Pro
Rfam family: tRNA
About the family: Transfer RNA (tRNA) molecules are approximately 80 nucleotides in length. Their secondary structure includes four short double-helical elements and three loops (D, anti-codon, and T loops).
Source: RNAcentral
CGGGGCGUAGCGCAGCCUGGUAGCGCAUCUGCUUUGGGAGCAGAGGGUCGUUGGUUCAAAUCCAGCCGCCCCGACCA